RNAcentral lists this long non-coding RNA (1114 nucleotides) under Junco hyemalis (dark-eyed junco). Its description in RNAcentral is "lncRNA (ENSJHYG00000008312.1)". Lineage: Eukaryota; Metazoa; Chordata; Aves; Passeriformes; Passerellidae. The record is from RNAcentral.
UGCUCUGCCUGCAUAAUUCCUGCAGCCCAGGGAAGGAUGUGGAGCCAAGGUUGCAGCUCUCAUCCCAGAAUUCCCCCACUAUUCCCAUUAAUCCUCAGUAUCAAAGGAUUCAUUCCAGCAGCAGCUGUGCUGGAUGGGGCUGGGGUUUCCCAGGGAAGCUGAUCCUGAUCCCUUGCCACCAAACAACUGUGGAAGGAGAAGCGUGGGAAGCACAGGGGUGAAUCCCUGUGGUGGAGCAUCCUAGGGGCACAAAGCCAUGGAUCAUUCCCACCCUGCAGCCCAAAACCCACCAGGAGCAAAGGGGCAGAAAUCCUGCUCUUCUCCUGCUUCCAGCAUUCCCAGUGCUGUUUCCUCCAUAGCUGAUGGAACAGAAGAAGCAGAAGAGGUUUUUGAAGCAGCAUAAACUAAAAACAAGCCUUUUUUCCUUAUUUUUCCCCAGGGAAUCAGCAGAAGCAUGGGAUUAAGACUGGAAAGGGGGAUCUUGUCCCCUUCCCAAUUAUUUAAUGGUGGGAAACAAGUGCAGCCAGCACUCUGGGAUUUUUCCACCCACUACCAUGAAAACGUACCCGGUUCUGGAUGUUCCCUCUUCCCAUCUCAGAUGCUCCAGAGGAUGUGGGGAAGGAGCCGUGCAUCCGUUUUGGGAACACGUUGUCUGCCUGAAACAUGUCAGAAUCGGCCACAAAUUGCAGAUGAGACUGAUAACAAAAGCCAACAACAGAAAAUAGGUAGAAAAACAACACGGUGGAGGCUGAGACCACUGAAGGGCUUUUUUGUGUGCUUUUUUAACCAGCUCUCUCACGAUGGAAGUGAAAACACAUGAAAAGAGAAAUGUGUUUUGUUCUCCCACUCCACUUGAAUUAAGAUGCUCCAGCACCAAACCAGGGUUGAACCCUGUGGCUGGAGCUGCUGCCCAGUCCAGGGACUCACAAAUCAGCAUUUUGGCACCUAUGAGGGUGCUUGGAUGUGUUUUGGGGGAGGUUUAUGGUAUUUUUUAACCUUAAAACAUGUGCCCUGCAGCACGUGGGUAACACUGCUCAUUUUCUCGACCCAGGCUGCUCUACCUGAACGUCUCUGCUCGAAUAAAUCAGGCUCCAGCUCAGAAAUUAGGAUGAGG